This 404-nucleotide ribosomal RNA is filed under the name uncultured bacterium. RNAcentral's name for it is "partial 16S ribosomal RNA". It matches the Rfam family "Bacterial small subunit ribosomal RNA", at positions 28 to 526 of the family's 1533-position model. The record is from RNAcentral.
GAUGAACGCUGACAGCAUGCUUAACACAUGCAAGUCAACUGUGGCGGACUGGUGAGUAACGCGUAAAGAACUUGCCCCACGGAUGGGGACAACAUUUGGAAACGAAUGCUAUUACCUGAUACUGUGAGAGUGCUUUGCGUCCCAUUAGCUAGUUGGAGAGGUAACGGUUCACCAAGGCGAUGAUGGGUAGCCGGCCUGAGAGGGUGAUCGGCCACAAGGGGACUCGGACACGAGCCUUACGCAUUCGGGCGUCAUGGGUGAGGGAUAGUGUAAAAUAGGCCAAAGUCUGAUGAAGCAAUUCGGGUUGUAAAAUGAAGUUUUCGGGAGGAAAAGUGCUUUGAGUUGAGAAGCGGUACCAACAGAAGAAGCGACGGCUAAAUACGUGCCAGCAGCCGCGGUAAUUC